CCUGCGGAAGGAUCAUUAAUGAAUUUAGAUUGAACCAUAGGCGAAAGCCAGUGGUUCUUCUUUCAUAUCCAUAACACCUGUGCACUGUUGGAUGCUUGCAUCCACUUUUAAACUAAACAUUAUUGUAACAAAUGUAGUCUUAUUAUAACAUAAUAAAACUUUCAACAACGGAUCUCUUGGCUCUCGCAUCGAUGAAGAACGCAGCGAAAUGCGAUAAGUAAUGUGAAUUGCAGAAUUCAGUGAAUCAUCGAAUCUUUGAACGCACCUUGCGCUCCUUGGUAUUCCGAGGAGCAUGCCUGUUUGAGUGUCAUGAAACCCUCAAACCCAAGUUUUGGAUUUCGAUCCAUGCUUGAGUUUGGAUUUGGAUGUUUGCCGGUGAUGAACCGACUCAUCUUAAAAGUAUUAGCUUGGAUCUGUCUAUAUGACUGGUUUGACUUGGCAUAAUAAGUAUUUUGCUGAGGACAUCUUCGGAUGGCCAGGACCUAGACUACUGUCUGCUAACUAAACCAUCACUUUAAGUGCAUCUUUGGAUGUUACUCAUUGUGUAACUUUGACAUCUGGCCUCAAAUCAAGUAGGACUACCCGCUGAACUUAAGCAUAUCAAUAAGCCGGAGGAAAAAUCAUUAAUGAAUUUAGAUUGAACCAUAGGCG
RNAcentral lists this ribosomal RNA (651 nucleotides) under Filobasidium magnum. Its description in RNAcentral is "eukaryotic LSU rRNA". The stretch from base 157 to 310 matches the Rfam family "5.8S ribosomal RNA". Lineage: Eukaryota; Fungi; Basidiomycota; Tremellomycetes; Filobasidiales; Filobasidiaceae. The record is from RNAcentral.